Molecule: long non-coding RNA, 650 nt
Filed under: Aphidius gifuensis
Lineage: Eukaryota; Metazoa; Arthropoda; Insecta; Hymenoptera; Braconidae
Description: uncharacterized LOC122855088, transcript variant X1
Source: RNAcentral
CGGUUAAUAACAGGCGGUUAAAAAUUUUUUGGUUUUUAACCAAAAAAGGGAGGAGCCUGCGCACAAAAAGCUGCGCGUACUUUAUACUGCUGUCAACUGAAAAAUUUAUGAAUAAAAAAACACAGUGAAAAAGUUGAUGGGUAUGUCAUAUUCAAUCCAGAGAGACUUGAUUAUUGUAAAGAGGAAAAGUGAGGUUAAACCCAGAGUUGACAGCCUACGUUUUUGUUGUUGAUAUGUCAUAUAUAUACCAAUUUUAACAAUGGGUCGUUCUGAAUCUGAGGUUUGGAAACAUUUUAAUGUUGUUGCAAAUCCUGAAUGCAAAUACAAGACAGGAAGUUUUAAAUAUUGUGGAAAAAAAUAUGUUUCAAAUGCUGGUAGAAUGAUGAAGCAUCUUGCUCAAGAAUGUCAAAAUUGUGAUGAUGAAAUUUAAACAAAUUUUAUGGAAAUAAUUGUGCAAAAAAAUAAACUUGAUGUCAGACAAUCAUCUGAGCAAUUUGUAGCACUAAUUACAAAGAACAAAACAACUUAAAACAAAGGCUCAAUUGACAGGUUUAUUGAUACUAAAAUGUCCAAAGAAAAUCAUGAUAAAUUGAAUGCUUCUUGUGCACGAGCAAUAUAUUCCAGAGCUUCAAUUAACAUUAUUGUAUUCA